GGAGAGGUGCCCGAGUGGUCAAAGGGAGCAGACUGUAAAUCUGCCGGCGCAGCCUUCGAAGGUUCGAAUCCUUCCCUCUCCACCA
Molecule: transfer RNA, 85 nt
Filed under: Syntrophaceticus sp.
Lineage: Bacteria; Bacillati; Bacillota; Clostridia; Thermoanaerobacterales; Thermoanaerobacterales Family III. Incertae Sedis
Description: tRNA-Tyr
Rfam family: tRNA
About the family: Transfer RNA (tRNA) molecules are approximately 80 nucleotides in length. Their secondary structure includes four short double-helical elements and three loops (D, anti-codon, and T loops).
Source: RNAcentral